Molecule: long non-coding RNA, 179 nt
Organism: Thalassophryne amazonica
Lineage: Eukaryota; Metazoa; Chordata; Actinopteri; Batrachoidiformes; Batrachoididae
Exons: 3
Source: RefSeq, a predicted model, not a curated record
GUAGAGCCAUUGUAACUAGGCCAGCAGGUGUCGCUGUGCAUAUGUAGUUACUAAACCUCACUCCUAACAGCUCAAAAAAGGAUUAUCUGGUCACAAGACCAGAGCCCUGGGAUUUUGCAUUCUGGUUAGAGAGUCCGACUCCCAUGCUGAAGAUCGUGAGUUCACAUCCCGAGCGGAGU